CCCUACACCUGUCAAAUGAUCAUUCUGCCAAAUAAUUUCCACUCCAUCCUUACCAUCACAACAUUCAAACUCUCUACACACCUGAGCGAGUUACUUUAUUUGAAGGACCAAAAUAUUUGCUAUAUAGACUAAAUUUUAACAAAAAGAAAUAAUAAAGUACUGUAUAUACGUGCAUGCAGAGGUUGGAAUAUCCCGUCAAAACAACAGCUUUGGUAGGGUACUUAAAAUGGACUAAUAUUAUAACAUUCAGUACGUGGUUUAAAUCAGUUUUCAUCAUUCCUUCACAUACCCUUUUCAUUCAUAUAUGAAUAUUUGCGAGUUUUGUUUUAUUUGCGAGAUUUUAAGAAUAUAUAUACUUGUCAG
This is a non-coding RNA of Paramuricea clavata, 363 nucleotides long. NCBI's taxonomy places the organism in Eukaryota, Metazoa, Cnidaria, Anthozoa, Malacalcyonacea, Plexauridae. The record is from the annotation of a GenBank genome assembly.